Molecule: long non-coding RNA, 1032 nt
Filed under: Felis catus (domestic cat)
Lineage: Eukaryota; Metazoa; Chordata; Mammalia; Carnivora; Felidae
Description: lncRNA (ENSFCAG00000050189.1)
Source: RNAcentral
CCCAAUUAGGUCUCACAAAAACCCUUGAGGUGUAGCAAGAAGGAACCCCCAUCACACAGUUUAUGAGUCUGGAAACUGGUCAGUGCAUCAGACCAAUUUCUGGACAGAUGCCCAAUUCUCAGUCUUCUUUGGGCUUUUGUGAGAAUGUUGGUAGCAUGAUGGAAUGGUUUUCCAUGGAGUUAGGUGGAAGUGGAGGAAACAGGUGGGAGGAGAAGACUUCUCUGAGCCAGAGUGAUGAAUAAAGUUCUCUCUCAAAUCAGGGAACUUCUGGGGGACAAGGGAGGGCAUCCUUGACCUACACUCACCAUGAGUUCAUUGAGAAGACAAUACUGAGCAGGACCUCCCUCCUGUAGGAGGCCUUUAGCGAUGCUUCAUGGCUGGUUCAUGUCCUUCCCUACUUCUACAACAGCCUCCAAGUAACCCCACCAAAGCACUUACUAGGUACUGUUGAAAUAAUUUAUUCAGUCUGUUUUCUGCUGUAGUUCUGCUGACUUGUGGAGCAGACAAAAUGUCUUGUUUAUCUCUCAGUGCUACUUCCAUGACUAGAACAUAAUAGAUGCUCACUAAAUGUUCAAUGCGUAUAUUUUUUUAGGCUUGCCUGAGUUUUCUGUCUCUACACCACACCUUCCCUACAAUUCUGAGGCGGUCUUAUCAGGCAAAGAGCCACUCAAUGUCAUUGGCAUCCAAGACCACACCCCUACAUAGACCCAUGUUCCAGAGCAGCCUCACAACAAAAGGAGGAGCCCAGAGAGGCAAAUCUGGAACUUGCAUCAUGUCUGGACUCAGUGUCUCUGGGAGACUCUCUCAUCACAUCCUUAUUGUAGCCUCUAGAGUUUCUACCACCUAUCUCCUUCUGCAGCCUGGACAAGUCUUUCAUUGCUGUCAAGACCUUCUUAUUAACAUCCAUGAGGUCCUUGGCCAAUGCCAGCCCUACCAUCUAGCCCUGCUGCUGCUCCUUCUGGACCCACAUGGUGAUGGGGAAAUGCAUAGGUGCAACACUGGCCACCACACCCAUUCCCCCCUACUUGCAGC